UGGGGAAUCUUCCGCAAUGGACGAAAGUCUGACGGAGCAACGCCGCGUGUAUGAUGAAGGUCUUCGGAUUGUAAAGUACUGUCAUUGGGGAAGAACGGUUUUCUUGAAAAGAUUGAGAAGACAUGACGGUACCCAAGGAGGAAGCCCCGGCUAACUACGUGCCAGCAGCCGCGGUAAUACGUAGGGGGCAAGCGUUGUCCGGAAUUAUUGGGCGUAAAGGGCGCGUAGGCGGGCCUUUAAGUCCGGUGUGAAAGAUCAGGGCUCAACCCUGAGAGUGCAUCGGAAACUGGAGGCCUUGAGGACAGGGAGAGGAAAGUGGAAUUCCACGUGUAGCGGUGAAAUGCGUAGAUAUGUGGAGGAACACCAGUGGCGAAGGCGACUUUCUGGACUGUAACUGACGCUGAGGCGCGAAAGCGUGGGGAGCAAACAGGAUUAGAUACCCUGGUAGUCCACGCCGUAAACGAUGAGUGCUAGGUGUAGAGGGUAUCGACCCCUUCUGUGCCGCAGUUAACACAAUAAGCACUCCGCCUGGGGAGUACGGCCGCAAGGUUGAAACUCAAAUGAAUUGACGGGGUCAUAGCUG
Molecule: ribosomal RNA, 583 nt
Filed under: uncultured bacterium
Lineage: Bacteria
Description: partial 16S ribosomal RNA
Rfam family: Bacterial small subunit ribosomal RNA
Source: RNAcentral